UUGAGCCCAGGAGGCGGAGGUUGCAGUGAGCUGAAAUCACGCCACUGCACUCCAGCCUGGGCGACAGAGUGAGACUCCGUCUCAAAAAAAGAAAACCAGGAAGUUAACAUUGAUAAACUACUACUAACUAAUCUACGGACAUUCAAAUUUUGCCAGUUUUCCCGAUGAUGUCCUUUGUCUGGUCCAGGGUCCCAUAUUGCAUUUUGUUGUGGUGUUUCCUUCAUCUCUGUCAGCCUGUGACAGUUUCUUGGUCUUUAUCUUUCAUGACCUUGACACUUUGGAAGAGUCCAGGCCAGUUAUUUUAUAGAAUAUUCCCCAGUUUUAGUUUGUUUAAUGUUUUUACAUGAUAUGAUUGAGGAUCUGCAUUUUUGCCAAGACAACCACAGAAGUGAUACUGUGCUAUUCUUAGUGCCUCCUAGCGGAGGGUGGUGGUAACUUUGAUCACAUGGCUAAGGUGGUGUGUGCCAGGUUUCUCCACUGUAAAAUUAGGAAUUUUCCCUUUGAAAUUAACAAGAAUCUUCCACUUUGAAGCUAUGUGAAUGUCUUAUUCUUAAAAUUUUGCCUACUGAUUUUCAUUUCCAUCAUCAAUGAUUCUUGCUUAUAACAGGUAUUAAUGUUAUGCUUGCCUAAUGGUGACUUUGUUUCAUUAUUUUACCUGUAUUUAUUAAUUGGUAUUCUACUAUAAGGAAGAGCUGUCCCUUUUCCCCAUUUAUUUAUUUGAUAAUUUAUAUCAGUAUGAAUGAGUGGAUAUCUGUUUUAUUCUACAGGCUACAAUCUAAUGCUAACAGUUUAUUUGGUUGCUCAAAUUGGCUCAGAUUUGGCCAGUGAGAACUCAUUGAAGUUGGCACUGUGUUGUUUCGACAUUGCCCCUGUCACUUUUUAAGCAUUUUCUGGCACCACAAGAUGUUUCAGGCUUCCUCACAUUUUCCCUAUCUCAGCCCUGGCAUCAGUCAUUCUCUAAGAAGCUCCCAGUUCCUUUUAUUCCAGAAAAAAGGAACUUAGAAACCAAGUUGUUUCUUGAUGCCACUGGAAACCAAGAUCUGGACAGAAUAUAUACUCCUGGCUAGAGUAUCAUUGGCGGAGUGUCAUUGCUUGUAGGCCUGCUCAGCAGACAGAGCUAGAAAACAUAUAUGUAUAUAUGUUAAAACAUGCAAAUACAAGCACCUGAAUUUAUUAUUCUAUCCAUCUGUAUGUUAUUAAAAACCGUGAGCCAGGUAUGGUGGCUCGUGCCUGUAUCCCAGGACUUUGGGAGGCCAAAGUGGGAGGAUCACUUGAGCCCAGGAGUUCAAGACCAGCCUGCGCAUCAUAGCAAGACCUCAUCCUCCAAACGUUUAAAAAAUAAAAAAUUAGCCAGGCAUGGUGGUGCAUUCCUGUAAUCCUAGCUACGUAGGAGG
RNAcentral lists this long non-coding RNA (1394 nucleotides) under Homo sapiens (human). Its description in RNAcentral is "HSALNT0177965". Lineage: Eukaryota; Metazoa; Chordata; Mammalia; Primates; Hominidae. The record is from RNAcentral.